UCGGACGUGGUGCACGACACACACCCGCUCUUCUUAUGGGGGCGAAAGACUUCGAAACAGAUGAAAGUGCGAGGCCUGGGUUCGACUCCCAGCGUCCGAA
Molecule: non-coding RNA, 100 nt
Organism: Mycena vulgaris
Lineage: Eukaryota; Fungi; Basidiomycota; Agaricomycetes; Agaricales; Mycenaceae
Source: the annotation of a GenBank genome assembly